Molecule: long non-coding RNA, 655 nt
Organism: Mytilus trossulus (common blue mussel)
Lineage: Eukaryota; Metazoa; Mollusca; Bivalvia; Mytilida; Mytilidae
Exons: 3
Source: RefSeq, a predicted model, not a curated record
AUUUUCUUAUACUGGUAUAAUAAAUCAUCCGAACCCUAAACAGAGUUGGUUGUAUCUUGACCCUAGAAUCGACCCUGUUACAACAGUACUAGGCGCUGCAGCUAAAGAAAAUUGCAGAUUUUAUAAGGUCACAGCUCUGUAAAAACAGAAGCCUGGUGAUGGCAUAAUUAAAAAAUCUAGAGGCAGAACACAAUGGUGAAAAAUUAAGAAAAGGAGAUGUAGUUAAUUAACUUCCAUAAUGUUCAAGCUCCAAUUAUAUGUAAGAGGAAGAAGUGAUAUAUUGUGAAAGAUCCUGGAAUGUUCAACUUUAUUUGGAAACUGUUGGAUAAAAUUUACACUAGAAGCCAGUAUCAUAUUGUCUUGCAAUUGGAAACUAUAAUUUUUAUGUAAACUGCUGAAACUGGAGAACAACAUUAAAAGCCAAGAUCAACAAUACUUGGGACUACAUCAUUAUGUAUAAUCAGAGUACAUGUACUGUCAGAAUCCAUAUGAGAACCAAUCUACACUUGGUGUCUACAUGUAUAUGCAAUGUAUUGUCAGAAUCCAUGGACUUGAGAAACCAAAGAUUAACUAUAAUUUAAAACUGUAUGCUUUAGUGUUGUCUAAAUCCAUAAAAAAAUCCAAGAUCACAAAAGGACCUACUUUACCUACCUGU